This 469-nucleotide ribosomal RNA is filed under the name uncultured bacterium. RNAcentral's name for it is "partial 16S ribosomal RNA". It matches the Rfam family "Bacterial small subunit ribosomal RNA", at positions 28 to 507 of the family's 1533-position model. The record is from RNAcentral.
GAUGAACGCUGGCGGCGUGCUUAACACAUGCAAGACGAACGGUGAACACGGAGCUUGCUCUGUGGGAUCAGUGGCGAACGGGUGAGUAACACGUGAGCAACCUGCCCCUGACUCUGGGAUAAGCGCUGGAAACGGCGUCUAAUACUGGAUAUGUGACGUGACCGCAUGGUCUGCGUUUGGAAAGAUUUUUCGGUUGGGGAUGGGCUCGCGGCCUAUCAGCUUGUUGGUGAGGUAAUGGCUCACCAAGGCGUCGACGGGUAGCCGGCCUGAGAGGGUGACCGGCCACACUGGGAUUGAGACACGGCCCAGACUCCUACGGGAGGCAGCAGUGGGGAAUAUUGCACAAUGGGCGAAAGCCUGAUGCAGCAACGCCGCGUGAGGGAUGACGGCCUUCGGGUUGUAAACCUUUUUUAGCAGGGAAGAAGCGAAAGUGACGGUACCUGCAGAAAAAGCGCCGGCUAACUACGUG